This 322-nucleotide ribosomal RNA is filed under the name uncultured eukaryote. RNAcentral's name for it is "partial 18S ribosomal RNA". It matches the Rfam family "Eukaryotic small subunit ribosomal RNA", at positions 1470 to 1796 of the family's 1831-position model. The record is from RNAcentral.
CCCUUAGAUGUUCUGGGCCGCACGCGUGCUACACUGAGUGGAUCAGCGGGUCAGGUUGCGCGAAAGCGUUUCCUAAUCUUUAAAGCCGCUCGUGAUGGGGAUUGACGGUUGCAAUUUUCUGUCAUGAACGAGGAAUACCUUGUAAGCGCGGGUCAUCAUCCCGCGCUGAAUACGUCCCUGCCCUUUGUACACACCGCCCGUCGCUCCUACCGAUUGAGUGGUCCGGUGAGGCUUUGGGAUCUGAGCGGAAAGAGCGUUUCGCUGUUUCUGCUCGGAAAACUCAGUCGAACCUUAUCAUUUAGAGGAAGGAGAAGUCGUAACA